UUCUCUGGGCUUAACCCAGAGGGCUGCUUUCAAAACUGCCGUGCUCGAGUGCGAGAGAGGUCAGUGGAAUUGCAGGUGUAGCGGUGAAAUGCGUAGAUAUCUGCAGGAACACCCGUGGCGAAGGCGGCUGACUGGAUCGCAACUGACGCUGAGGAACGAAAGCUAGGGGAGCAAACAGGAUUAGAUACCCUGGUAGUCCUAGCCCUAAACCAUCAGGACUUGGGGUGGCCCGCGUAGGCGGGUCGUCCCGUAGCUAACGCGUUAAGUCCUGCGCCUGGGGAGUACGGUCGCAAGACUGAAACUCAAAGGAAUUGACGGGGGCCCGCACAAGCGGUGGAACAUGUGGUUCAAUUCGACGCAACGCGAAGAACCUUACCUGGGCUUGAACCGCUACUGACCAACGGUAGAAAUAUCGUCUUCCCGCAAGGGACAGUAGUAGAGGUGCUGCAUGGCUGUCGUCAGCUCGUGCCGUGAGGUGUUGGGUUAAGUCCCGCAACGAGCGCAACCCUUAUUCGUAGUUGCCACCCGCAAGGGGGAACUCUACGAGGACUGCUCCGGAUAACGGAGAGGAAGGUGGGGAUGACGUCAAGUCAGCACGGCCUUUAUGUCCAGGGCUACACACGUGUUACAAUGCGCGGCACAGACUGUUGCGAACCCGCGAGGGGGAGCUAAUCGGAAAAAACCGCGCUCAGUUCGGAUUGCAGUCUGCAACUCGACUGCAUGAAGCUGGAAUCGCUAGUAAUGGCGUAUCAGAUCGACGCCGUGAAUACGUUCCCGGGCCUUGUACACACCGCCCGUCACAUCACGAAAGUGAGCUGUACUAGAAGUCGCCCAGCCAACCGUAAGGAGGCAGGCGCCCAAGGUAUGGCCCAUGAUUGGGGCGUAACAAGGUA
This 893-nucleotide ribosomal RNA is filed under the name uncultured bacterium. Its description in RNAcentral is "bacterial SSU rRNA". It matches the Rfam family "Bacterial small subunit ribosomal RNA", at positions 599 to 1498 of the family's 1533-position model. The record is from RNAcentral.